GAGAGUGUGGCUUAGAGGUAGAGUGCUUGCCUAGCAUGCAUGAAGCCCUGGGUUCAAUUCCUCAGUACUCACA
RNAcentral lists this transfer RNA (73 nucleotides) under Dipodomys ordii (Ord's kangaroo rat). It matches the Rfam family "tRNA". Rfam says of the family: Transfer RNA (tRNA) molecules are approximately 80 nucleotides in length. The record is from Rfam by way of RNAcentral. Lineage: Eukaryota; Metazoa; Chordata; Mammalia; Rodentia; Heteromyidae.